GUCCCCAACCUGUGGCCUCCAAACCUCGGUCCAGGAUCAAAUUGCCAAAGCCGCCUUGUCCAUCCAGCCCGGCUGGAAGUGAUUUUUAAACAAAGCCCACAUUCCUUCUGAGUCUGUCGGCCUGCCAUGUUCCCAAGCCCACCACCACGCCUGCAAUUUCCUUGCCAAGCCGACUCCUCGGGAUAAACGCAUGGCGAAAAACCGGCAAGGAAAUAAACAAACAGAUCCCCAUCACACCCUGCCACGUCCCACCUCGCUCGGGCGUCUGUUCAAAACAAGCAUCCUGGUGACAAUGUCGAGACAUCGGGGGCCCUGGCGGGGAGGGGGGCGGGCACUGGGGGCCCCGGGGAGGACAAUCGGAAGAAAAUGGAGGUCAGACCCCCAAGCAGGGCUGGCCGGCUUUCAUCCCGCAAUGGAAAUCGGGGAGGAUUUUGCCUCCGAAGGCUCCCAGUGGACUUUUGUCGUGAGGACAAGAAACGCUGCACGCGGAUAAAGUGGCUUUUAGAACUAUCAGAAAGAGACAGGAGAAGGACGAGACGGCUCAUCUGUACCGCCCUCCUGGGACAAUUCUACCCCGUUUCCACCCGGCGCGACUUCUCCUCCUUCGCUACUGUCUGCUUUCCUCCCGCGUGGAGGGCUCCGCGCUGCGUGGCACAGGAUGCAGUUCUCACUUCCUAUGGUCUCUGCUCUGCCUGGAGCGUCCCAGGGGCAGGCCGCAGCGUGGAGAAUUUCCAGAUCUGAGCGGGAAAGGAGGCUAGACCCGCUCCACCAUCGUGGCCAGCCAUCGUCCCCACACACCCACCACGAAGCGCUUUGGGUCAGGCGCUCCCCAGCUUCAGCCCGCGGGCCUCCCAGAAGGACCCCCUAAGGCGGGUUCUGCCCCCAUCUCUGUUUUCCAGAGAAGACAACUGAGGCUCAGAGACGCUGAGCCCUUUGUGCAAGGCCACACGGCAGGUCAGUGCCCGUGCCAGGAGUCACAUCUGCAGGCAUUCACAGCCCCCUAGCUAUGCUAUAUUCGUGGCUUACCUUCCGGUCCUCUUCCUCCCCCGUCCUGAGGGCUGGGGGACGCUCUUCGCACCCCCUGCACCCCCUGCUGGCUCCAGUCCUCCCCAUUUCUCCCAAGAUGCCUGCUCAGACCACCGUGGGCAGAGAGAAGAUCGUGCCAGCCACUCGCUAACUCAGCGGAUAUUUAUGCCUGUGCAAACACCACACACGCCUUCUGCAUGAUUUGGAGCUAAAUGCGGUGUUACUUAAUUAAUGCACAUGUAACACUUGAGAAUAUUACACCUAUUAGAACUCACAGACAAUUAACACUCCGGGGCCGCUGACG
RNAcentral lists this long non-coding RNA (1330 nucleotides) under Felis catus (domestic cat). RNAcentral describes it as "lncRNA (ENSFCAG00000052070.1)". The record is from RNAcentral. Lineage: Eukaryota; Metazoa; Chordata; Mammalia; Carnivora; Felidae.